GCCUCUAGCUAUUAAUAUUAGAGGUCCAUUCUGCCCUAUGCCCUACGGGGUAAAUGGCCGCGGUAGCCUGACCGUGCUAAGGUAGCAUAAUCAUUUGCCGUUUAAUUGAUGGCUGGAAUGAAUGAAUAUACGAGAGCUCAACUGUCUCAUUUUUACAAAUAUAAAUUGACCCUCAAGUGAAGAGACUUGAAUUCUUAAAAAAGACGAAAAGACCCUAUAGAGCUUUACCUGAAAUCUAUAUCAUAUAUAAUAAAGGUUUAGUUGGGGCAACUAGAGAGCACCUAAAACCUCUCUUCAAAUUUUCUAAUAACGAUCCGUUUUUACGAUAAGUAGAAAAAGCUACCUUAGGGAUAACAGGCUAAUCCUCUUUAAGAGACCAUAUUGACAAGAGGGAUUGGCACCUCGAUGUUGGCUCAAGGUUACAGUUUGAUGCAGCAGUCAAACAAAGUAGGUUUGUUCACCCUUUAAAUCCUU
This 474-nucleotide ribosomal RNA is filed under the name Polydora hoplura. Its description in RNAcentral is "partial large subunit ribosomal RNA". It matches the Rfam family "Bacterial large subunit ribosomal RNA", at positions 1818 to 2597 of the family's 2925-position model. Lineage: Eukaryota; Metazoa; Annelida; Polychaeta; Spionida; Spionidae. The record is from RNAcentral.